GGUCGGUGGCGGCGGCGACAGAGGAGGGAGCGUCUGCCCCCGUGGCCGCGGCGGAGGAGGCAGCGGCGACGGAGGCGGGGACCUCCGCCCCGGGGAUCCCAGCGGAGGUGGCACCGGCGGCGGAGGCGGAGGAGCCCGCUCGAGGGACUCCGGCAGGAGCGGAGGAGCCUCCCUCGGCGGUUGCGGCGGAGGGCGAGGUAGCCG
RNAcentral lists this long non-coding RNA (204 nucleotides) under Setaria viridis. Its description in RNAcentral is "long non-coding RNA (SVIR_LNC002069)". The record is from RNAcentral. Lineage: Eukaryota; Viridiplantae; Streptophyta; Magnoliopsida; Poales; Poaceae.